GUGGGGAAUAUUGGACAAUGGGGGGAACCCUGAUCCAGCCAUGCCGCGUGUGUGAAGAAGGCCUUUUGGUUGUAAAGCACUUUAAGCGAGGAGGAGGCUACUCUAGUUAAUACCUAGGGAUAGUGGACGUUACUCGCAGAAUAAGCACCGGCUAACUCUGUGCCAGCAGCCGCGGUAAUACAGAGGGUGCGAGCGUUAAUCGGAUUUACUGGGCGUAAAGCGUGCGUAGGCGGCUUUUUAAGUCGGAUGUGAAAUCCCUGAGCUUAACUUAGGAAUUGCAUUCGAUACUGGGAAGCUAGAGUAUGGGAGAGGAUGGUAGAAUUCCAGGUGUAGCGGUGAAAUGCGUAGAGAUCUGGAGGAAUACCGAUGGCGAAGGCAGCCAUCUGGCCUAAUACUGACGCUGAGGUACGAAAGCAUGGGGAGCAAACAGGAUUAGAAACCCGUGUAGUCC
This 451-nucleotide ribosomal RNA is filed under the name uncultured bacterium. Its description in RNAcentral is "partial 16S ribosomal RNA". It matches the Rfam family "Bacterial small subunit ribosomal RNA", at positions 354 to 796 of the family's 1533-position model. RNAcentral also lists the same sequence under 1 other name. The record is from RNAcentral.